AUUGAACGCUGGCGGCAGGCCUAACACAUGCAAGUCGAGCGGAUGAAGGGAACUUGCUCCUGGAUUCAGCGGCGGACGGGUGAGUAAUGCCUAGGAAUCUGCCUGGUAGUGGGGGAUAACGUCCGGAAACGGGCGCUAAUACCGCAUACGUCCUGAGGGAGAAAGUGGGGGAUCUUCGGACCUCACGCUAUCGGAUGAGCCUAGGUCGGAUUAGCUAGUUGGUGGGGUAAAGGCCUACCAAGGCGACGAUCCGUAACUGGUCUGAGAGGAUGAUCAGUCACACUGGAACUGAGACACGGUCCAGACUCCUACGGGAGGCAGCAGUGGGGAAUAUUGGACAAUGGGCGAAAGCCUGAUCCAGCCAUGCCGCGUGUGUGUAGAAGGUCUUCGGAUUGUAAAGCACUUUAAGUUGGGAGGAAGGGCAGUAAGUUAAUACCUUGCUGUUUUGACGUUACUAACAGAAUAAGCACCGGCUAACUUCGUG
Molecule: ribosomal RNA, 484 nt
Filed under: uncultured bacterium
Lineage: Bacteria
Description: partial 16S ribosomal RNA
Rfam family: Bacterial small subunit ribosomal RNA
Source: RNAcentral